Molecule: transfer RNA, 72 nt
Filed under: Camelus bactrianus (Bactrian camel)
Lineage: Eukaryota; Metazoa; Chordata; Mammalia; Artiodactyla; Camelidae
Also listed under: 1 other name
Rfam family: tRNA
About the family: Transfer RNA (tRNA) molecules are approximately 80 nucleotides in length.
Source: Rfam by way of RNAcentral
GUAGGUAUAGCUCAGUGGCGGAAGGCACGCUUACCAUGCACGAGGUCCUGGGUGCAAUUCCCAGUACUUCCA